GUAUUAGGUUGGUACAAAAGUAAUUGUGGUUUUUGCCCCUACUUUUAAUGGUAAAAACUGCAAUUACUUUUGCAGCAACCUAAUA
MicroRNA precursor from Aotus nancymaae (Ma's night monkey), 85 nucleotides. NCBI's taxonomy places the organism in Eukaryota, Metazoa, Chordata, Mammalia, Primates, Aotidae. The record is from Ensembl.